CAGAGGUGUCGUCCGUUUUGGGCGGUGAAAAGGGAAUCCGGUGCAAGUCCGGAACGAUACAGUCACUGUGAUGGGGAGCUUUCUUGCAGUCCCGGCAAGGUCCUGCCGGGGGUGAGACCCACUGGGAAACUGGGAAGGGAAGAAAGCGGUGAACCGAGUCAGGAGACCUGCCUUUGUGU
This 179-nucleotide non-coding RNA is filed under the name human gut metagenome. The record is from RNAcentral.